UUGAAAGGGAAACCAUUGAAAACGACUUCGUCUCCCGGGACUCCGCCGAGCGGCCUCGUUCGGCGUGCUUUCCGGGGCGACGGGCCAGCAUCGAUUUCGACCACCGGAGAAAGGUGGGGGGAACGUGGCACCUUCGGGUGUGUUAUAGCCCCUCGUCGCAUGCGGCGGUUGGGAUCGAGGACCGCAGCACGCCCUCACGGGCCGGGGUUCGCCCACGUAACGUGCUUAGGAUGCUGACGUAAUGGCUUUAAACGACACGCGCAUAUCAAUAAGCGGAGGAAGUUGACGUAUUCGUUAAGGAUGUUGACGUA
This 311-nucleotide ribosomal RNA is filed under the name uncultured Glomeromycotina. RNAcentral's name for it is "eukaryotic LSU rRNA". Lineage: Eukaryota; Fungi; Glomeromycota. The record is from RNAcentral.